Molecule: ribosomal RNA, 475 nt
Filed under: uncultured bacterium
Lineage: Bacteria
Description: bacterial SSU rRNA
Rfam family: Bacterial small subunit ribosomal RNA
Source: RNAcentral
CGGCACGCUUAACACAUGCAAGUCGCACGAGAAAGGGGGCAACCCUGAGUAAAGUGGCGCACGGGUGCGUAACACGUAGAUAACCUGCCCUUUGGAGGGGGAUAACGUUCCGAAAGGAGCGCUAAUACCGCAUACAGCUGAGACCGGUUUGCUGGUCUUGGGCAAAGGUAGGGACCCGCAAGGGCCUAUCGCCGAAGGAGGGGUCUGCGGCCCAUCAGCUAGUUGGUAAGGUAAUGGCUUACCAAGGCAGAGACGGGUAGCUGGUCUGAGAGGAUGAUCAGCCACACUGGUACUGGAACACGGACCAGACUCCUACGGGAGGCAGCAGUGGGGAAUCUUGGUCAAUGGGCGCAAGCCUGAACCAGCGAUGCCGCGUGAGUGAUGAAGGCCUUCGGGUUGUAAAGCUCUGUGGGGAGGGACGAAAGAAUCGGUUCUAACAGGACCGACGUUGACGGUACCUCCUUAGCAAGCACCG